RNAcentral lists this ribosomal RNA (253 nucleotides) under uncultured bacterium. Its description in RNAcentral is "partial 16S ribosomal RNA". It matches the Rfam family "Bacterial small subunit ribosomal RNA", at positions 524 to 776 of the family's 1533-position model. The record is from RNAcentral.
UACGUAGGGACCGAGCGUUGUCCGGAAUCAUUGGGCGUAAAGAGCGUGUAGGCGGCUAUUUAAGUCCUGCGUGAAAUCCUGCGGCUCAACCGCAGACGGUCGUGGGAAACUGGAUGGCUAGAGUGCGGGAGAGGAGAGUGGAAUUCUCGGUGUAGCGGUGAAAUGCGCAGAUAUCGGGAAGAACACCCGUGGCGAAGGCGGCUCUCUGGGACGGUACUGACGCUGAGACGCGAAAGCGUGGGGAGCGAACAGG